UAUCCUUUUUGCCAACUACUUUGUCAAUUGUCACAUUGCACUUGAACCUUAUCACUCGAAUAGGUCAAUGAUUUUCACUUUUUGAUUUUUUUAUUUAUUUUAUGAGACGUGAUUUCAUCUUCAAAAUCAAAAUCGAAAUCGAAUAUUUUCUCAAUGGCAAUAUUUUCUCUUAUAACUCCUCUUACUUUGUGGAAUAACAAUUUUUUCUUGAUAAUACCUCCUUUUGCAUGUUUAUUAGCG
Molecule: long non-coding RNA, 240 nt
Filed under: Capsicum annuum
Lineage: Eukaryota; Viridiplantae; Streptophyta; Magnoliopsida; Solanales; Solanaceae
Description: long non-coding RNA (CANN_LNC008664)
Source: RNAcentral